UUUGACGUAACAAGGUUCCGUAGGUGAACCUGCGGAAGGAUCAUUCGCACGCAUCCAAUUGAACCACUGUGCAUCUUGUCGUGAGGUUCUGAGUGGGGAGCAAUUACCAACUCAGAAACUCAAGGGCAGCAGUGUGGGGUUAGCUUUGCUAGCCUCAUUCCUGCUGUCGGGUUCUACUUGAACUUCUAUUUUGUUUUGACAUGCUUUCGUGAGUGGCUAGUCCACUUCAACUUCAUUUCACAACUUUCAGCGACGGAUGUCUCGGCUCGAACAACGAUGAAGGGCGCAGCGAAGUGUGAUAAACAUUGUGAAUUGCAGAAUUCCGUGAACCAAUAGGGAUUUGAACGUAUACUGCGCUUUCGGGAUAUCCCUGAAAGCAUGCCUGCUUCAGUGCCUCUACCUUCUAAUGCCAGUAGCUUUAUGCUCUUCGGGGCUGGCUGCUUGUGCGUAUUUGUGCGUUAAAUUGCGCUGUAUGUGUGCAUUUGACGCAUUGAGCAUGUGGGGAACCUUCGCAUCAAUCAACUUAUUGAGUGUCUCUGAUACCAUCUGUUGCAUUGCUUGCAAAGGCUGCCUCAACAACCAAAGCUGCUUCGUGUAGCUUUCCUCCAAGGCAUGAAGUUAGGUCAGCAAACCCGCUGAAUUUAAGCAUAUGCGACCCGGCAGGGA
RNAcentral lists this ribosomal RNA (666 nucleotides) under Azadinium poporum. RNAcentral's name for it is "eukaryotic LSU rRNA". The stretch from base 242 to 396 matches the Rfam family "5.8S ribosomal RNA". The record is from RNAcentral. Lineage: Eukaryota; Dinophyceae; Gonyaulacales; Amphidomataceae.